RNAcentral lists this ribosomal RNA (254 nucleotides) under uncultured bacterium. RNAcentral describes it as "partial 16S ribosomal RNA". It matches the Rfam family "Bacterial small subunit ribosomal RNA", at positions 524 to 776 of the family's 1533-position model. The record is from RNAcentral.
UACAGAGGGUGCAAGCGUUGUUCGGAAUUACUGGGCGUAAAGCGCGUGUAGGCGGCCUGCCAAGUCUCGUGUGAAAGCCCCGGGCUCAACCCGGGAAGUGCGCGAGAUACUGGCUGGGCUUGAGCGGUGGAGAGGGUGGCGGAAUUCCCGGUGUAGAGGUGAAAUUCGUAGAUAUCGGGAGGAACACCUGUGGCGAAGGCGGCCACCUGGACACUUUCUGACGCUGAGACGCGAAAGCGUGGGUAGCAAACAGG